Non-coding RNA from Ictidomys tridecemlineatus (thirteen-lined ground squirrel), 72 nucleotides. NCBI's taxonomy places the organism in Eukaryota, Metazoa, Chordata, Mammalia, Rodentia, Sciuridae. The record is from Rfam.
GGGGCUGUAGCUCAGCGGCAGAGCGCUUGCCUCGCAUGCGGGAGGCACUGGGCUCGAUCCUCAGCACCACUU